UCUAUGUACAUCCGUAUGUAGUUCAUAGUGCAAUCUCUAAAAGGUCUUAUAUUUAGGAACGGAGGAAGUAUUUUUUUACUAGAAGACUACAUAUGGAUGUAUAUGGACUCAUCUUAGAAUGUAGAUUCUGUCAUUUUGCUUUGUAUGUAGUCAUCUAGUAAAAUAUCUAAAAAGACUUAUAUUUAGGAACGGAGGCUGCCUGCUGUAUUUGUUCCCGCCACAUGCACACGAUAAUGACGGACGAGCAGUGCAAUUUUUCCCGCCUAAGUUUCCCGCGUUAUUUUCCCACCUAAGUUUCCUGCCUAAGUUUCCCGCUGAAGUUUCUCGUUUUCGCGCCGUUUUUUCCCGCGUAGAAAUCCGGCAGAGCCUAUAAAAGGAGGCAGGGAGUGAAACUCUCUUCACCAUCACCCAAACCUCAAAGCACCUGCACCUUCAUAGUUAGUAUGAGUUUGCCUUGUUCGGAUCAGAGCAUUAGGCCUAGGAAAAUGCAGAGUGCAAGCUUGCCUCGGGGGGUGGAAGCAGUUCGAUGUUGGUGCGGAGAUGUCUACAAAAAUAUUACACACGCGUCUUGCAUAUAUAAUUACUACACAUAUUAUCACAUGAACAAAAAUGCAGUUCCUAAGGUUAUCACCAGUUAUCACAUGAACAAAAACGGAGUCGACAUAUUAUCACAUGAACAAAAAUGUUACACACAUAUUUUUUUUACCUUCCUAAGGUUUCUAAAAUGCAGUUGCAUGGAUAAACAUAUCACCAGUAAUUUAUCAAAGUAAUCGACCUAUUGUCACAUGAACAAAAAUGCUAGUUGCAUGCGUGCGUCUUGCAUAUAUAAUUACUACACAAAUUUAUACAUUACAAUGUUAAUAAACAGAAAGUACAUACUUAAAAAACUAAUCAAAUAGACUAAAAUUUUCGUGCAUGCGAACAAAACCUGCGAAAAUGAAUUGAUUUAACCUUGAUCUACUUUCUUUCAACUGCAACAUAUUCGAAAUCCAACCCAAAAGACCAGAAAUCUUGAAUCAAAGUGAAGAAAGGAGUGUGUUCUUCAGCUACAGAGAAAUGAAAAGACAGUGAGAAUAACCCAAAAUAAAAACAACAUGCAUGCAAACAUAAUCAACAGAAAUGGAACACUCUUACCUUGAUCUAUCUUUUACUCAACUACGACGUCUUCAAAAUCCAAUUUAAAACCGUCCUAAAUCAGUGUAUAAAGUAGUUCUUGAGAGAAAGAGGAGCUGCUGUGUUUGCUCAAGCAAGAGAAAGGAAGGAGGCAACGGCAGAGUGAGAGAGGAGGCAGCUGCUGUGUAUGCU
RNAcentral lists this long non-coding RNA (1305 nucleotides) under Hordeum vulgare. Its description in RNAcentral is "long non-coding RNA (HVUL_LNC003071)". Lineage: Eukaryota; Viridiplantae; Streptophyta; Magnoliopsida; Poales; Poaceae. The record is from RNAcentral.